This 1396-nucleotide ribosomal RNA is filed under the name uncultured bacterium. Its description in RNAcentral is "16S ribosomal RNA". It matches the Rfam family "Bacterial small subunit ribosomal RNA". The record is from RNAcentral.
GAUGAACGCUGGCGGCGUGCCUAACACAUGCAAGUCGAACGGUAACAGGCACUGUAGCAAUACAGUGUGCUGACGAGUGGCGGACGGGUGCAAAACGCGUAAACAAUCUACCCUAGAGACGGGGAUAACCUUGAGAAAUCAGGGCUAAUACCCGAUACGUUCCCGAGAUCUCCUGAUCUUGGGAGGAAAUCCCGCAAGGGGCCCUUGGAUGAGUUUGCGUCUGAUUAGCUAGUUGGCGGGGUAAUGGCCCACCAAGGCGAUGAUCAGUAGCUGGUCUGAGAGGACGGACAGCCACACUGGGACUGAGAUACGGCCCAGACUCCUACGGGAGGCAGCAGUGGGGAAUAUUGCUCAAUGGGCGAAAGCCUGAAGCAGCGACGCCGCGUGAACGAAGAAGUCCUUAGGGAUGUAAAGUUCUUUCGUCGGGGACAAUUAUGAUGGUACCCGAAUAAGAAGGCCCGGCUAACUAUGUGCCAGCAGCCGCGGUAAUACAUAGGGGCCAAGCGUUAUCCGGAUUUAUUGGGCGUAAAGCGCGUGUAGGUGGUCGGUUAAGUCGGGUGUUAAAUUUGGAAGCUCAACUUCCAUACGCGCCCGAAACUGAUCGGCUUUGAGGUCGGGAGAGGAAAGCGGAACUCACAGUGUAGCGGUGAAAUGCGUAGAUAUUGUGAGGAACACCAGUGGCGAAGGCGGCUUUCUGGCUCGUACCUGACGCUAAAGCGCGAAAGCAUGGGGAGCAAACAGGAUUAGAUACCCUGGUAGUCCAUGCUGUAAACGAUGUUCAUUAGGUGUAGGGGGUAUCGACCCCCUCUGUGCCGUAGCUAACGCGUUAAAUGAACCGCCUGGGGAAUACGAUCGCAAGAUUAAAACUCAAAGAAAUUGACGGGGGCCCGCACAAGCAGUGGAUCAUGUGGUUUAAUUCGACGAUACACGAAAAACCUUACCUGAGCUUGACAUCUGCCUGAUCCCCAUGGAAGCAUGGGGUGACCCGCAAGGGAGGGCAAGACAGGUGGUGCAUGGCUGUCGUCAGCUCGUGUUGUGAAAUGUUGGGUUAAGUCCCGCAACGAGCGCAACCCCUAUUCUGUGUUAUCAGCGGUUCGGCCGGAUACUCACGGGAGACUGCCUGUGGAAAACAGGAGGAAGGCGGGGAUGACGUCAAGUCCUCAUGCCCCUUAUGUUCAGGGCUACACACAUGAUACAAUGGAUAAGACAAUGGGUUGCCAAACCGCAAGGUGGAGCCAAUCCCACAAAAUUAUCCUCAAUUCGGAUUGAAGGCUGCAACUCGCCUUCAUGAAGCUGGAAUUGCUAGUAAACGCGGAUCAGCAUGCCGCGUUGAAUACGUUCCCGGGCCUUGUACACACCGCCCGUCACACCAUGAGAGCUGGAAAUACCCAAAGCC